Molecule: long non-coding RNA, 856 nt
Filed under: Bos taurus (domestic cattle)
Lineage: Eukaryota; Metazoa; Chordata; Mammalia; Artiodactyla; Bovidae
Description: long non-coding RNA NONBTAT016159
Source: RNAcentral
UGAAAAAAUAAAAGGUAGCUUUUAGAUGUCCAAAUUGAAAAUAUAAAACUCACCAAAUUAAAAAAAGAUAGAUUUAGCUAUCUCAGCUUAUUUCCUAAAGUAAUACAUGAGCUGGUUAAAUGGCUUCUCCCAUCUUAGCAACUUCUGUUUAAAAUUCUGUCAUAGGCCGGCAGGCUCUGAGUUAUAUUUAUGAAUAUAUUUUUCUGAAAUUAAUCUCAAAAGAGGCAUUUGUUCAGAGUAAUUUUGAAGGAAGAAUUUAAAUAAAAUAUUUAGGCAAAUACCAGAAAUGACUUUUUAUUGUUUUGAGAUAAAGUCAUUCAUAUUUUGGUUUUGUUUUUUCCAUGUUUAAAUUAUUUACAUGAUUUGAGUGGGAAAGUCCUAAAACCUUUAUCCUGUGGCUGCUUGAUAUGUGUAAUUAUUAAUGAAAUGUUCACUCUAGUCCUCUUGAGGGUUAGAUUUUCAAGCACGUGUCAGGUCAAACAGUAUUACAAACCAUAUUUUGAGGUUGUGAGACAGCACAUUUGUAGAUGAAGCUUGCUGCCUGCCGUUUGCAGACUAUUAAUGAGUGCUAGGUACCAAAUUGUAGAAAUGUCAGUUUUUAGUAAUGUUACAGUUGAGGCUGGUGAAAAAUGCAAAUGAAACUUUGUGGGAACACUGAUUCAUGUUAAGAAAAUGUAAAUAUCUGUAGCACUUUCUUACAGUUAAUUUGAAAACUUUGAAUGCUGAACCUUAUUUUGUCAGUGGUUUAUAGAUGAUUUAAAAAUGCAUGUGAUUUUAAUUUUGUAAUUGUUUUGACAAGCAUAAUUUACUUGGACAACUUUGUAGGUAGCCUUAACUUCUGCCCAAGUUUGUUUUU